UCAGCCAAUAAAGUCCACAGGGCACAUUAUCAUCAAAACGGCUCCUAGAACUGCAUUCCGCACGAAGUGAUUUCAGACAUCCAGCAAGGAAUGUUUGAAGAUUAGAAUUUUCUCACAUGCUUCUGGUUAAGAACAGUCUUAUGGAGGAUAUAAGGGUAAUGAAUCUGAAGGAAGGCCUUUUGUAGGCCGCGGGGUGAAGCAGGUGCUGCUAUUUUUGGAUUCUGACGCGCUGACGACGCCGUAUUGUUGGAUGAGUGGCAGUUUGGGGAAGAAUAAAAAACUGAUAAAAUUAAGAACAAUGCAGUUAUUCUGGCUCUAAAAUUGCAGGGUGGUCAGGAACAGGGCCAUGCACAGGGCCAAGGAUCCUAUAAUUUCAUGCUUUGGGUGCCUAAUGGAGUAAUUAGUAUCUGCGCUGACAUAUUAAUCCCUCCAAAGAGGGACUAAUGACCCCAUGAAAUUGAGGGUCAUUAAGUGUUUAAAUGCAGGUAUGCGUGUGUGUGUGGGGGUGGGAAGGAAGAGUAUUCCAUCCAUUAGCGAGGAAUGGAUCAUUCUGUUGGGUAAAAGAAAGGGAGCGGAGGAUUACUCAACGGGGGAGUUCGUGCCGUCUCAGAGAGGCGAGGGCAUUAAGCUGCCACUCCACACCGGAGUGGAAAAUGGAUAUGACCACGGAAAGACUUCAGUUACACAUUUUUAUCCAUUUAUCAGUCUGCGAAAAAACAAGUUUCAUGCUUCAUGCAUUUACUUAUAAGCCAGCUAAGAACACAUUUAGAUUUAAUGCAGGCCAAAAGUAUGGACCGGUGAGGAGGGCAUUGCUUGUCCCGGGUGAACUGGCUCCUUUGCGCUUGCCAUGGUCAGGUUUUCAGUGCUUACCCUGUCGGUGGUACAGGAAGAUUCUUUGCUAGCGCAGCCCGUUAGCGUGCUUCUCCCUGGAAAACGCUCUUGAGCGAAGACUUCGCCCUCUCCUGCAAUCCACGGAACUGCAAUUUGCCGGGAACAUUACCACGCAACAUUAACCACAUAUUGAAAAGCCGCGUGCGACCUUACACGCAAUUUUCAGCCACUUUUAUGCUGACAAACUGUUGUCUAAACAAGCGCAGUCAUCGGUGAAAACAUCUUUUCCCUUACAACCAGGGCCUGUUUUCAGCGUUCAGCUUUGUAACGUGGCGUUCAGUUGCAAUCUGCAGCAUGUAUCUACAGCAUAUCCAUAAUAAUGCAGUAUAAUGUGGUGACUGGCAUUAAGCAGUGACUAAUUAGGUAAAGA
Long non-coding RNA from Anguilla rostrata (American eel), 1261 nucleotides. RefSeq lists it as uncharacterized. The record is from RefSeq and is a predicted model, not a curated record. Lineage: Eukaryota; Metazoa; Chordata; Actinopteri; Anguilliformes; Anguillidae. The transcript has 2 exons.